GAAUUCGAUUAGAGUUUGAUCAUGGCUCAGGAUGAACGCUGGCGGCGUGCCUAAUACAUGCAAGUCGAACGGGGAGUGUAUACUUCGGUUUAUACUCUUAGUGGCGAACGGGUGAGUAACGCGUUGGUGACCUGCCCCGAAGGACGGGAUAACAGCUCGAAAGGGCUGCUAAUACCGUAUGAGAUCUAAGGAGUUAGAGUACCAUAGAUGAAAGGAGUAAUCCGCUUCGGGAGGGGCCUGCGUCCCAUCAGCUAGUUGGUAGGGUAAAGGCCUACCAAGGCAAAGACGGGUAGGGGGCCUGAGAGGGUGACCCCCCACAAUGGAACUGAAACACGGUCCAUACACCUACGGGUGGCAGCAGUAGGGAAUAUUGCACAAUGGGCGAAAGCCUGAUGCAGCAACGCCGCGUGCGCGAUGAAGGCCUUCGGGUUGUAAAGCGCUUUUCGGGGAGAUGAGGAAGGACAGUAUCCCCGGAAUAAGGCUCGGCUAACUACGUGCCAGCAGCCGCGGUAAAACGUAGGAGUCAAGCGUUAUCCGAAUUUACUGGGCGUAAAGCGCGUGCAGGCGGUUUGGUAAGUUGGAUGUGAAAGCUCCCGGCUCAACUGG
This 606-nucleotide ribosomal RNA is filed under the name uncultured bacterium. RNAcentral's name for it is "bacterial SSU rRNA". It matches the Rfam family "Bacterial small subunit ribosomal RNA", at positions 1 to 616 of the family's 1533-position model. The record is from RNAcentral.